GGAGGAGAUUGAGGCUGACAAGGCACCUGCCAGGGCAUCAGUCAUUCUCGCUGGGCUUGGCUUUACCCCUAAAAUGCAGCAGCAGCCCACCCGGGAGUUCUCAGGUGGCUGGAGGAUGAGGCUGGCCCUGGCCCGGGCCCUCUUUGCUAGGCCGGAUCUUCUGCUGUUAGAUGAACCUACAAACAUGCUGGAUGUCAGGGCCAUCCUGUGGCUGGAGAAUUACCUGCAGGUGAGUGCCUGUGGGUGCUGGAGUGUGUUGGGGAAAGGCGGCCUCCAAGAUACCUGGGGGCCUGAGAACUGACUGCCCUCCCAAACUGGACCUACCGUCCUGUGACCCCUCAGACGUGGCCCUCCACAAUCCUAGUCGUCUCCCACGACCGCAACUUCCUGAAUGCCAUCGCCACAGACAUCAUCCACCUGCACAGCCAGCGGCUAGAUGGUUACCGGGGAGACUUUGAGACCUUCAUCAAGAGUAAGCAGGAGCGGCUGCUCAACCAGCAGCGUGAAUAUGAGGCGCAGCAGCAGUAUCGCCAGCACAUCCAGGUUUUCAUUGACCGGUUUCGCUACAA
This 569-nucleotide small RNA is filed under the name Pongo abelii (Sumatran orangutan). RNAcentral's name for it is "retained intron". Lineage: Eukaryota; Metazoa; Chordata; Mammalia; Primates; Hominidae. The record is from RNAcentral.